RNAcentral lists this ribosomal RNA (263 nucleotides) under uncultured bacterium. RNAcentral describes it as "partial 16S ribosomal RNA". It matches the Rfam family "Bacterial small subunit ribosomal RNA", at positions 524 to 786 of the family's 1533-position model. The record is from RNAcentral.
CACGAACCGUACGAACGUUAUUCGGAAUUAUUGGGCUUAAAGGGUGCGUAGGCGGCUCAGUAAGUUGGGUGUGAAAGCCCUCGGCUUAACCGAGGAACUGCGCCCAAAACUACUGGGCUCGAGGGAGACAGAGGUGAGCGGAACUACGGGUGGAGCGGUGAAAUGCGUUGAUAUCCGUAGGAACACCAGGGGCGAAAGCGGCUCACUGGGUCUCUUCUGACGCUGAGGCACGAAAGCUAGGGGAGCGAACGGGAUUAGAUACC